GAGAGAGGCCAGAAGCAGUAAGGACUGCUAACCCCUACCCCCAUGGUUAAACUCCAUGGCUCACUCG
RNAcentral lists this transfer RNA (67 nucleotides) under Ancistrus temminckii. Its description in RNAcentral is "tRNA-Ser". The record is from RNAcentral. Lineage: Eukaryota; Metazoa; Chordata; Actinopteri; Siluriformes; Loricariidae.